RNAcentral lists this transfer RNA (91 nucleotides) under Actinoplanes palleronii. RNAcentral's name for it is "tRNA-His". The record is from RNAcentral. Lineage: Bacteria; Bacillati; Actinomycetota; Actinomycetes; Micromonosporales; Micromonosporaceae.
GGGUGGUGUCGUGUGGAAGGACAUCGAGCCGGUGGUGUUCGUCUCCGCCCGGCCGAGGACUUCGCCGGUUCUGGCGUCCAGCACCACCCAC